ACGAGCGGCGAACGGGUGAGUAACACGUGGGUGACCUGCCCUCAGCUCUGGGAUAAGCCCGGGAAACUGGGUCUAAUACCGGAUAGGACCUCUCAGCGCAUGUUGGGUGGUGGAAAGUUUUUUCGGCUGGGGAUGGGCCCGCGGCCUAUCAGCUUGUUGGUGGGGUGAUGGCCUACCAAGGCGGUGACGGGUAGCCGGCCUGAGAGGGCGACCGGCCACACUGGGACUGAGACACGGCCCAGACUCCUACGGGAGGCAGCAGUGGGGAAUAUUGCGCAAUGGGCGGAAGCCUGACGCAGCGACGCCGCGUGGGGGAUGACGGCCUUCGGGUUGUAAACCUCUUUCGCCAGGGACGAAGCUUUCGGGUGACGGUACCUGGAUAAGAAGCACCGGCCAACUACGUGCCAGCAGCCGCGGUAACACGUAGGGUGCGAGCGUUGUCCGGAAUUAUUGGGCGUAAAGAGCUCGUAGGCGGUGUGUCACGUCGGCCGUGAAAACUUGGGGCUUAACUCUGAGCGUGCGGUCGAUACGGGCAUCACUUGAGUUCGGCAGGGGAGACUGGAAUUCCUGGUGUAGCGGUGAAAUGCGCAGAUAUCAGGAGGAACACCGGUGGCGAAGGCGGGUCUCUGGGCCGAUACUGACGCUGAGGAGCGAAAGCGUGGGGAGCGAACAGGAUUAGAUACCCUGGUAGUCCACGCCGUAAACGUUG
This 709-nucleotide ribosomal RNA is filed under the name Pseudonocardia sp. KLBMP 1286. RNAcentral's name for it is "bacterial SSU rRNA". It matches the Rfam family "Bacterial small subunit ribosomal RNA", at positions 91 to 811 of the family's 1533-position model. Lineage: Bacteria; Bacillati; Actinomycetota; Actinomycetes; Pseudonocardiales; Pseudonocardiaceae. The record is from RNAcentral.